RNAcentral lists this ribosomal RNA (497 nucleotides) under uncultured bacterium. RNAcentral describes it as "partial 16S ribosomal RNA". It matches the Rfam family "Bacterial small subunit ribosomal RNA", at positions 28 to 507 of the family's 1533-position model. The record is from RNAcentral.
GAUGAACGCUGGCGGCGUGCCUAAUACAUGCAAGUCGAGCGAACAGACGAGGAGCUUGCUCCUCUGACGUUAGCGGCGGACGGGUGAGUAACACGUGGAUAACCUACCUAUAAGACUGGGAUAACUUCGGGAAACCGGAGCUAAUACCGGAUAAUAUAUUGAACCGCAUGGUUCAAUAGUGAAAGACGGUUUUGCUGUCACUUAUAGAUGGAUCCGCGCCGCAUUAGCUAGUUGGUAAGGUAACGGCUUACCAAGGCAACGAUGCGUAGCCGACCUGAGAGGGUGGUCGGCCACACGGGAAGUGAGACACGGUCCAGACUCCUACGGGAGGCAGCAGUAGGGAAUCGUCCGCAAUGGGCGAAAGCUUGACGGAGCAACGCCGCGUGAGUGAUGAAGGUCUUCGGAUCGUAAAACUCUGUUAUUAGGGAAGAACAAAUGUGUAAGUAACUAUGCACGUCUUGACGGUACCUAAUCAGAAAGCCACGGCUAACUACGUG